CUACUGAGCCGGCCGCAGAAAUUGCAGCCGCUCAGCUUCUACCCCCUCCUGCCUUUCCUUCCUCUUUCCUUACUUCCUUCCCUUCCCUCGGCUUCCCGCUCUUGCCUCACUCUCAGCGGCUGCCUUCGCCCCUGUCUGCAGACAGCGCCGCUGGAUGCUCCCAGCUGGACUUCAACCCCACUCCUCUCAGUCCCUCUCCCCACUGCCUUCCAGACGCGCCUCUUCCCCGCCCCGCGCCCCUCUCUCCUCUCCCACCCCUGCCCCUCUCCGCGGCGCUCACCCUCCUCAGUCCCAGUUUCUGAAAGGACUCAGCUGAGAAAGGACAACUGGGUUCCGCUUUCCUUAACCCUACACCCUUUAGCUGGAUGCUGUCAGAGGCGAUGGAGAAACGCAAAGGCUACUAGACGCAACAAUAGAAUUACCAUAUUGUUUUUCCUGGUUUGAAAGGACCAGAUGGAAAGAAACUGGGCAAGCCAAUGAAAGUCUCUGGGGAUCAUGGGAAUUGAGUGUCUAUGAAAACCAUAUUCCAGACAAGAAUAUAGUCUAAGGACACAGCAAGAGGCAACAUUUUGGAAGCAGAGGGCAACUCUCACUGGAAACCAAAUCUCCUGGCACCUUGAUCUUGGAUUUUACAGCCUCCAGAACUUUCUCACACUUCCUUUUGAAAGCUAUUAAAAAUCUAUGGCAGAAAAAUGGUCAAGGAAUAGGAACUACAACUUCAUAAAUGAGGAACCAGAAAAGGAUAGCUGGGAGGCAUUACAUAGUCAUGUGCGAGGUCAAAACUGAGUCACCACCACAACCAAGUUCCAGCUGGCAAGAAGAGGAAAAAUAACACAGAGGAGUUAUGACCAGUGUUGUAAGGAUCUGGCCUAGAAAUGGCAUGCAUCUCUUCCACUAAUAUCCUAUUGGUAAAAAUGUAGUCACAUGGGCACACCACCUAUCUGCAUGGAAGGCUGGGAAAUGUUGAUCGGUAGGGCAGCCAUAUGUGUAGGAAGGAGAAAACAGAAUUUGGUGGAUACCUAGUAGUCUCUGCCAUACCCUUGACCAGAAAUUUUUCUUCUAAAGAAUUUAAUUCUAAAAGUUAUAGACAUUCCCAAAGAUAUACCUGCAAGCAUCACAGCUUUGUGUAUAAUUGCAAAAGUUGAAAUCAACAUGAAUGCCCAAAAUAGUGAAUUAUUUAAACAGAUUAUUACCCAUAUUAUGAAGAAAUACUCUGCAACUCUUAAAAAUAAAUGUAAUGUGCCAGGCGCAAUGGGAUAUGCCUGCAGGCCCAGCUACACGGGAGGCCAAGGCAGGAGGAUCACUUGAAAUCAAGAGUUCAAGUCUAGCCUAGACAACAUAGUGAGACUUGGUCUCUAAAAAAGAAAAAAAAAAAUAAAACUGAUGUAAUGAAUAUAUAAUUACAACAAAAGAGGUCUAACACUAUAGUAGAAAAGUUUGGGGCACUCAUCCCAUUCAUAAUUAUUUUACAUUUAAAUUACUGUUCCUACUUAAGUGGUGAGCUUGGUAACCAUUUUCAUAUCAGGUGAUACUGCUGCAGUAAUCAUAGCUGUUUGAAUCAGGAAUAAUCCCAAUCACAUUUUCUCUUAAUCGUUUAUUAUACUGGGCAUUGGGGUUGCAAGAUAAUGCACAGUCCGAGCUCAAUACAUGUCUUCAUGUACCUGUAUGUAAAUCCCACUUUUAUUCUAAAAUUCUUUGAAUAUUUUGUUUCUUGGAACCCAAUGAUCCUAAGAAAAUUAUGUACUUUUACCUGAAAAUUAAAACCAAUAUUUAUAAAAAGUGUAUAUGCAGUAUGAUACCACUUUUAAAAAAAGAUAAAUUUAUAGAAAAAAGUUUAUAUGACUGACAACAAUGUCUCUGAGUGGUAGGAUUACAGUUAAUUUUUAUUUUCUUCAUUCUACUUAUCUUUAUUUUCUGAACUUUCUACAAUGAACAUGUUUUAUUUUUACUUUUGUUAAAAUAAAUAACAUUUAAUUUGACGGAAAAUUCUAAAAAUCAACAUUUGGUAACUUAAAUAUUCAUUGGCACAUGAUUCUGUGCCUGUUUCUGGGGGUCAUUCCCAUGAGAAGAGCAGGUAGAACUUAUGAGAAUAGAGCAGUCGAAAUAUUAUAGGUUUCAUAUUUUACGGCUUUAUUGAAAACAUUGAUAUAUUGAAUAUUCAUAAAUUUUAAUUUAACUUUCUUUUAUAAUCCUUAAUGUGAGGCUAAGGUAUAAGGAGAAAGGAGAUUGGUAAGGAAGUGUGAUACAUAUUGAAUCAGGUGUCAAGGUACCAUUUGUGCCUGGAUCUGACCAAUAGACCAAGGUAAAAAUCUCAAAGAAUGAGACUUGUAAUGAGAAUGCCACAAACUUGAAUACCUUAUGCACAAAACACAAACAUUGUUAUGCAUAAUGUACAUGAACCCUGAAACAAAGAUAAUGAUUUGGACCACCCAACUGAAGUGGCAUGUUAUGUUUUUGGCAUGAACAAAAGAAACAAGAGAGAAAAAAAUCAAAAUAAUUAAAAUAAAUUGUUAGAGAAAAGUUACUUUAAAAAUAGCUAUAACGCUUUGCAAUUUCAGUAACAGUUCUGCCUCUGAUGCAAUGUAAAACAUGUAUUAGACAUUCAGGCUCCACAAUAAAUUUUAAUGAGCACUACAAAUUUAGAAUAUAUAAAAAUAUCAGUAACCUAUGAAUUCAUCAACAUAACUCACUUUUCAGUUAAGUUAGGCUGAGUUGAAAUUCUACUAAGUUUUCCCAUAUUCUUGAUAAAGGCUAAAUUUGAAAUAAUUUAUUUAGAUGACUAAUUGGCAAUUUGAUAGUAGUUACAUUUUAUGUAACACUUGAUAUAAUAACCCAAAUUAAUUAGCUCAAUAUUAUCUUCUGUGGUUUAUUGAUCCAAAAGUACAUAUUUGUUAUGUAAACUUAUACUAUGUAAACUUGAAUUAGUUUUUUGCUUCCUUGAAUUAAUAAAGCCCAUUAAUGCAAAUCUAAGCCUUCAUAGACUUUUCCAAUCCUUAGUUAAAUAUUAAAAACUGAGUAUUGUAGUUAUUUGCUAGGUAUAAAAGGUGACUCAGAGUAGAGAGUAAGAUGUCAGCAAAUAGACAAUAAGAUGUCAGCAAAAGUGCCUCAAAUUUUAACUGCGUCAAGUUAAGGGCAUUGUAAAUACUGUAGUUUUAUGUAGCUUGCAACUUCUACUGAAAUGAGUUUAAUCAUGUCUUUCACAUAGCUGAAGUUUGUGUCAAGAUUUAAGCUGAUUUUCUCAUUCUUAUCAAAGUCUCACCUGGGGGUAGGGAGGGGUAGGCCUACCUCCCACCUCUAUACUAUCAUUUUAGGAACAGACAGGCAUAAAUCUGUUCAUAUGGUAGAACACAUGAUGUUAGAGUAUAUUUUGUUGAAUGCUAUGGAAUAUUAAUAUAAUUAAUUCUAAAAUAUCACCUAAAAUAUGUCAACUGAAGAUCUGACUGUACUAAAUAUGAAAAAUAAAGCAGCACAUACUUUC
RNAcentral lists this long non-coding RNA (3478 nucleotides) under Homo sapiens (human). Its description in RNAcentral is "WDFY3 antisense RNA 2, transcript variant 11 (WDFY3-AS2)". The record is from RNAcentral. Lineage: Eukaryota; Metazoa; Chordata; Mammalia; Primates; Hominidae.